Molecule: ribosomal RNA, 517 nt
Filed under: uncultured bacterium
Lineage: Bacteria
Description: bacterial SSU rRNA
Rfam family: Bacterial small subunit ribosomal RNA
Source: RNAcentral
GGCUCAGAACGAACGCUGGCAGCGUGGAUUAGGCAUGCAAGUCGAACGGGAUCCGGAAGGCAGCAAUGUCGGCCGGUGAGAGUGGCGGAAGGGCGAGGAACACGUGGGCAACCUGGUCUCUGAGGUGGGGAAAACCGUUGGAAACGACGGCUAAUACCGAAUGUAGCGCCCGCUCGCAUGAGCGGAGCGCCAAAGGGGGCGAAAGCUCCCCCUCUCCGAGGGGCCCGCGCACCAGUCAGCUUGUUGGCGGGGUAACGGCCCACAAGGCUCACGGUUAGCUGGUCUGAGAGGAUGGCCAGCCGCACUGGGACUGAGAUACUGCCCAGACUCCUACGGGAGGCUGCAGUCGAGGAUCAUUUGCAAUGGGCGAAAGCCUGACAAUGCGACGCUGCGUGGAGGAUGAAGGCCCUCGGGUUGUAAACUCCUGUCAUGGGGGAAAAGGAAAAGGGACCCAACACGUCCCCGAUUUGAUGGUACCCCAAGAGGAAGCGACGGCUAACUCUGUGCCAGCAGCCGC